GCACGUCCUGGCCGGGUUCGAGGGCGCCGAGGUCGCUGUCCGCGGUGAAGUCGGGUGGCAGGUGCACGAGCCCGUGCCGCCGGGCGUGGCGCGCCA
This 96-nucleotide transfer RNA is filed under the name Streptomyces spectabilis. RNAcentral's name for it is "tRNA-Ser". Lineage: Bacteria; Bacillati; Actinomycetota; Actinomycetes; Kitasatosporales; Streptomycetaceae. The record is from RNAcentral.